GAUGAAGAACGCAGCGAAAUGCGAUAGGUAAUGUGAAUUGCAGAAUUCAGUGAAUCAUCGAAUCUUUGAACGCACAUUGCGCCCCUUGGUAUUCCGAGGGGCAUGCCUGUUCGAGCGUCAUUUUGACCACUCCCGCUUGCGGGGUCUUGGGCCUUCGCCUCUGGGCGGGCCUUAAAAUCAGUGGCGGUGCCGUCCGGCUCUAAGCGUAGUAAAUCUCCUCGCUAUAGGGUUCCGGAGGGAUGCUGGCCAACAACCCCCAACUUUUAAGGUUGACCUCGGAUCAGGUAGGGAUACCCGCUGAACUUAAGCAUAUCAAUAAGCGGAGGA
Molecule: unclassified non-coding RNA, 327 nt
Filed under: soil metagenome
Description: partial contains 5.8S ribosomal RNA, internal transcribed spacer 2, and large subunit ribosomal RNA
Rfam family: 5.8S ribosomal RNA (bases 1-120)
Source: RNAcentral